ACAGACGUGAGCUAGUUCUGGAGAAAGGAUGACGUUAUUUGGGAACAUGGCUCCCAUUCAUUCACUCAGCCAGUAGGGUGGUUUUCAUUGAGAGCCAGCUGGGUGCUAAGCCUCAUCCUGGGCUGUGGACUGAGGGUCCCUAAUUGGCCCAGGGCAGUCUCAUCUGACCUUGGACUCACUGUGUGAGCCUCCAGCUUGCCCCGUAGGCAUGCUGGGAGCCUGGAAUACCAAGCGAAGUUCAGAUACCAGCAUUUUCCAUCUGUCUCAUCUCAAGC
This 275-nucleotide long non-coding RNA is filed under the name Mus pahari (shrew mouse). Its description in RNAcentral is "lncRNA (MGP_PahariEiJ_G0003792.1)". The record is from RNAcentral. Lineage: Eukaryota; Metazoa; Chordata; Mammalia; Rodentia; Muridae.